ACGGGUGAGUAACACGUGGGCAACCUGCCUGUAAGAUCGGAAUAACCCCGGGAAACCGGGGCUAAUGCCGGGUAAUACUUUCUUUCGCAUGAAGGAAAGUUGAAAGAUGGCUUCUUGCUAUCACUUACAGAUGGGCCCGCGGCGCAUUAGCUAGUUGGUGAGGUAACGGCUCACCAAGGCGACGAUGCGUAGCCGACCUGAGAGGGUGAUCGGCCACACUGGGACUGAGACACGGCCCAGACUCCUACGGGAGGCAGCAGUAGGGAAUCUUCCGCAAUGGACGAAAGUCUGACGGAGCAACGCCGCGUGAACGAUGAAGGUCUUCGGAUCGUAAAGUUCUGUUGUUAGGGAAGAACAAGUACCGUGCGAAUAGAGCGGUACCUUGACGGUACCUAACGAGGAAGCCCCGGCUAACUACGUGCCAGCAGCCGCGGUAAUACGUAGGGGGCAAGCGUUGUCCGGAAUUAUUGGGCGUAAAGCGCGCGCAGGCGGUUCCUUAAGUCUGAUGUGAAAGCCCACGGCUCAACCGUGGAGGGUCAUUGGAAACUGGGGAACUUGAGGACAGAAGAGGAGAGUGGAAUUCCACGUGUAGCGGUGAAAUGCGUAGAUAUGUGGAGGAACACCAGUGGCGAAGGCGACUCUCUGGUCUGUUUCUGACGCUGAGGUGCGAAAGCGUG
RNAcentral lists this ribosomal RNA (677 nucleotides) under Bacillus sp. HRS11. Its description in RNAcentral is "bacterial SSU rRNA". It matches the Rfam family "Bacterial small subunit ribosomal RNA", at positions 102 to 763 of the family's 1533-position model. Lineage: Bacteria; Bacillati; Bacillota; Bacilli; Caryophanales; Bacillaceae. The record is from RNAcentral.